AACGAACGCUGGCGGCAGGCUUAACACAUGCAAGUCGAGCGCCCCGCCAGGGGAGCGGCAGCCGGGUGAGUACCGCGUGGGGACGUACCUUUUGGUUCGGAACAACUCCGGGAAACUGGAGCUAAUACCGGAUAAGCCCUAACGGGGAAAGAUUUAUCGCCGAAAGAUCGGCCCGCGUCUGAUUGGCUAGUUGGUGAGGUAACGGCUCACCAAGGCGACGAUCAGUAGCUGGUCUGAGAGGAUGAUCAGCCACACUGGGACUGAGACACGGCCCAGACUCCUACGGGAGGCAGCAGUGGGGAAUAUUGGACAAUGGGCGCAAGCCUGAUCCAGCCAUGCCGCGUGAGUGAUGAAGGCCUUAGGGUUGUAAAGCUCUUUUGUCCGGGAAGAUAAUGACUGUACCGGAAGAAUAAGCCCCGGCUAACUUCGUG
RNAcentral lists this ribosomal RNA (431 nucleotides) under uncultured bacterium. Its description in RNAcentral is "partial 16S ribosomal RNA". It matches the Rfam family "Bacterial small subunit ribosomal RNA", at positions 29 to 507 of the family's 1533-position model. The record is from RNAcentral.